Molecule: ribosomal RNA, 1892 nt
Filed under: Protocruzia contrax
Lineage: Eukaryota; Ciliophora; Spirotrichea
Description: LSU rRNA
Rfam family: Eukaryotic large subunit ribosomal RNA
Source: RNAcentral
ACCCGCUGAACUUAAGCAUAUCACUAAGCGGAGGAAAAGAAAUCAACAGAGAUUGCCUCAGUAACGGCGAGUGAAGCGGCAAAAGCUCAAAAUGAAAAUCGGCAUCCUUUCGGCUGUCGAGUUGUAUCCUAAAGAGGUGAGUCGAUCUAUUGUCUUCUGGGAUAAGUUCUUAGGAAUUUGACACCAAAGAGGGUGACAGUCCCGCACAUGCCCAGGAGAUGUUGGUAGACGAACUUUCGAAGAGUCGGGUUGUUUAGAAUUGCAGCCCUAAAUGGGAGAUAUGCUUCUCCUAAGGCUAAAUAUCGAUGGGAGACCGAUAGCGAACAAGUACUGUGAAGGAAAGAUGAAAAGAACUUUGAAAAAAGAGUUAAUAGAUUUGAAGUCGUUGAGAAGGAAGCGGUAAAAAUAAAUUAUUUGGAGGUGACGUGUUAGUUGAGGGCGUAGCUUUGUCCGGAAGAGUACGUUAAAGGCUUUUCUGGAAGAUAGCUGCGACUGAGAUUGACAUUUUAUCUUCGAAAGGCAGUAUGAAGUGAGUGUCGUCGGAAUCACCUCUUGAGAAGAUCUGUGCUUGCAUAGAGGCUCAGGGGGAAAGCGAAGACCUCGCUUGAGGGUGCCACAGCUUGUAAGAGUUUGGUGAUACUGCCAAAAUGGUUUUUACUGACCCGUCUUGAAACACGGACCAAGGAGUCUAACAUAUAUGCGAGUAUGCUAGUGGAAAAACUGAUAUGCAUAAUGAAAGUGAGAUAGAUGUGAUGGGGGCAACCUCUGCAACAUCCUCCGACCAUGAUCUUCUGAGAAAGGUUUGAGUAAGAGCAUAUCUGUUAGGACCCGAAAGAUGGUGAACUAUGCUUGAGUAGGGUGAAGUCAGGGGAAACUCUGAUGGAAGCUCGUAGCGAUACUGACGUGCAAAUCGUUCGUCGAACUUGAGUAUAGGGGCGAAAGACUAAUCGAACCAUCUAGUAGCUGGUUCCCUCCGAAGUUUCCCUCAGGAUAGCUGGGACAACUAACGCAGUUUUAUCAGGUAAAGCGAAUGAUUAGAGGCAUCAGAGAUGAAACAUCUUUGACCUAUUCUCAAACUUUAAAUUGGUAAGAACUGAAGGUUUUCUUCACUUUGUUUGAACCUUCAGGUGGAAUGCGUGUCCUUAGUGGGCCAUUUUUGGUAAGCAGAACUGGCGAUGAGGGAUGAACCUAACGUUGGGUUAAGGUGCCCAAGUGUACGCUCAUCAGACACCACAAAAGGUGUUGAUUCAUAUAAACAGCAGGACAGUGGUCAUGGAAGUCGAAAUCUGCCAAGGAGUGUGUAACAACUCACCUGCCGAAUGAAUUAGCCCUGAAAAUGGAUGGCGCUUAAGCGUAUGACCGAUACCCAACCAUCAAUGCAAAAGUUCAGCAUUGAUGAGUAGGAGGGCGUGAACAUCAUGCAGAAGCUUCUGGUGUAAACCUGAGUGAAAUGGUGUUUAGUGCGGAUCUUGGUGGUAGUAGCAAAUAUUCAAAUGAGAACUUUGAAGACUGAAGUGGAGAAGGUUUCCAUGAGAAGAGCAUUUCGUCAUGGGUUAUUCGGUCCUAAGCCACAGGGAAAUUCCUUGAUAAAUGAGAGCUUGUCUCUCGCAGGCGAAAGGGGAUGAGGUUAAUAUUCCUCAAAUUGCACGUGGAUAUUGUAUGGUAACAUAAGCGAACUCGGAGACGCCAGCUGAUACCCCCGGAAGAGUUAUCUUUUCUUUUUAACUGACUGUGACCCUGAAAUCAGAUUACCUGGAGAUAGGGUUCUAUGUCAGGCAAAGCAUUUCACUAUUCGAAAUGUCGGGAACGUAUGAGAUGGUCCUUGAAAAUCUGAGUAAGAGAUUUAUUGUCACUGCAAGCCGUACCCAUAACCGCAUCAGGUCUCCAAGGUU